Molecule: transfer RNA, 60 nt
Filed under: Tenuibranchiurus glypticus
Lineage: Eukaryota; Metazoa; Arthropoda; Malacostraca; Decapoda; Parastacidae
Description: tRNA-Ala
Source: RNAcentral
GGAACUGUAGUCAAUCAUGACAUAUGAAUUGCACUCAUAAGGUGUUUUCAACCUGUUUCA